This 374-nucleotide ribosomal RNA is filed under the name uncultured bacterium. RNAcentral describes it as "bacterial SSU rRNA". It matches the Rfam family "Bacterial small subunit ribosomal RNA", at positions 30 to 407 of the family's 1533-position model. The record is from RNAcentral.
UUGAACGCUGGCGGCAUGCUUUACACAUGCAAGUCGAACGGCAGCGCGGGGCAACCUGGCGGCGAGUGGCGAACGGGUGAGUAAUACAUCGGAACGUACCCAGAAGUGGGGGAUAACGUAGCGAAAGUUACGCUAAUACCGCAUACGUUCUACGGAAGAAAGUGGGGGACCUUCGGGCCUCAUGCUUUUGGAGCGGCCGAUGUCUGAUUAGCUAGUUGGUGAGGUAAAGGCUCACCAAGGCGACGAUCAGUAGCUGGUCUGAGAGGACGACCAGCCACACUGGGACUGAGACACGGCCCAGACUCCUACGGGAGGCAGCAGUGGGGAAUUUUGGACAAUGGGCGCAAGCCUGAUCCAGCAAUGCCGCGUGAGUG